CUUUCCCCAUACAGGGAGGUUGGGAACUCAGCCCUGCUCAACUGCUUCCGUUUCCAAAGCGUGGGCCCCUAUGGUGUCUAUUGGGAGCAAGCUGCUCUAAGCAGGGCUUGUUGGAGCAGAGGCCCUGGUCUAACACGGCGAUGUCUCUCAGAUGCAGACUGUACCUCCUCUCUGUCAUUUGCCUUCUUCCAGCCGUGUCUGUGGGUGGCAUGUUGGAAAGGAGCAGCCAGGCAGGCUUCCUGGAGGAAGCGUCAGUCUUUGACAGCAGGAACUUGUCUCUAACUUCAGGCGGCUUCUCAUCAGGCAGCAAGACCUCUAAUCUCUCACAUCUCAUUUACUGGCACCGAGCCUCGCAAGCUUCCUGCUACUGAGCCUGGACUGAGACAAUCAACAUGUGACAUGAGACUGUCCUAGCGGUUGGGUAGUGACUGGACCCCACAGCUCCCCAGCCCCGAGGAAAACCAUGGUCCUCCUGUGGCUGUUUCUCCUGCUGGGGCUCACAUUUGCCACUUUCAGUUUAUGACGGGUCAGUGCAGCUACUGUGAGUGAAGGGCAUGUAUAAUGCCUCCCAAAUGCCUACUGUGUGCCCAAUACAUACUGGGCACUGGACACCUACGGUGUACUGAUCACCCACUAUGUGAUCUUCUCUGUAGCUCUCCAGUCAGUCA
RNAcentral lists this long non-coding RNA (668 nucleotides) under Mus spicilegus (steppe mouse). RNAcentral's name for it is "lncRNA (ENSMSIG00000018765.1)". The record is from RNAcentral. Lineage: Eukaryota; Metazoa; Chordata; Mammalia; Rodentia; Muridae.